Molecule: ribosomal RNA, 492 nt
Filed under: uncultured bacterium
Lineage: Bacteria
Description: partial 16S ribosomal RNA
Rfam family: Bacterial small subunit ribosomal RNA
Source: RNAcentral
AUUGAACGCUGGCGGCAUGCUUUACACAUGCAAGUCGAACGGUAACAGGCCUUCGGGUGCUGACGAGUGGCGAACGGGUGAGUAAUGCAUCGGAACGUGCCCAGAGGUGGGGGAUAACGCAGCGAAAGCUGUGCUAAUACCGCAUGUGAUCUGAGGAUGAAAUCGGGGGACCAGGCAGCAAUGUUUGGCCUCGCGCCUUUGGAGCGGCCGAUGUCAGAUUAGGUAGUUGGUGGGGUAAAGGCCUACCAAGCCGACGAUCUGUAGCUGGUCUGAGAGGACGACCAGCCACACUGGGACUGAGACACGGCCCAGACUCCUACGGGAGGCAGCAGUGGGGAAUUUUGGACAAUGGGCGCAAGCCUGAUCCAGCAAUGCCGCGUGCGGGAAGAAGGCCUUCGGGUUGUAAACCGCUUUUGUACGGAACGAAAAGGCUCUGGCUAAUACCUGGGGCUGAUGACGGUACCGUAAGAAUAAGCACCGGCUAACUACGUG